Long non-coding RNA from Brassica rapa (field mustard), 11113 nucleotides. RefSeq lists it as uncharacterized. Lineage: Eukaryota; Viridiplantae; Streptophyta; Magnoliopsida; Brassicales; Brassicaceae. The record is from RefSeq and is a predicted model, not a curated record.
UCCAUCGAAGAAACCAGAAGACCAAAAAAAAUUUCUACUCCUUCUCCCGACAAAUCUCGCGACGUUGAUGGCGUCACACACCGGUGACUUCUCCUGUCAUUUUUCCGAUGAAUCGGUGUAGCUCGUACGCUGCUACAGCCUCACCACUCUCUCUCGCUUCGACUCCUUGCCGGUAGAUCGAUUUUUCCCCAGAUCUUCAGCUCGAUCUUCAGAAAACUCCCACCAUCUAAGCAUCACCCGCUAGAACUUCAGUGAUCAAACACAUCACGUAUACUCCUUAGAACGUAACCGGCGACUCUCUAGAGCUUCCUCCGUUCUAUCAAUAAACCUGUCUCCCUUCAGCUUCUCUAUACUCGUCUCCCUUCAGCUGCCACAGCCGUUUAAGACGUUCUCUCAGCUUCUCCACCUUGAGCUAAGUACCAUGUGCCUCGCUUCCACAACGUCCCUGCAGGUAAUCUUUUGCUACUCCUAAACCUUCCCAUUAUCGCUUAAGAAAUAAUCCGGAGUUAUUAACUCAUUAUUUCUUCCUUUUGCGAGACAUCUUCGAUAAUGGAGUUACCUGCGACGUUCUUGAGUUUUUACUCGUUGAUGUUGAGGAGAUCACAGCAGAGAUCAAACUUAGGCCCGGGUUUCAUUGCUGGGCUGGGAAAGGGCUUGAAGUAUUAAAGUUGAGGCCCACUUUACAUAGUUUGCUAGGAUCUCGGUAUGUGUGUGUUGUACGGAAAUUGAUAGCUGUAACCUCAAGAUAGACGCCUAUGAAACUACACCACACCAUUGUAGGGGCGAAAUUCUGUCUUACAAGAUUGCGCAAGCAAGCCUCUAUCAAACUACAAUCAGUGAAAUGAUAAUGGGAGAAAGAUAAAUAUCCUGUAACUAUUUACAAUGGUUUAGAAAUCUAGUAAUAUUUAUAAGGGUUUAUAAAUGAUCUACAAGUGUGAAGCAUACGUAUGAUUGAUUUGCAUUUGUACUUUGGAAUAACAAUCUAAGAUAUAUUUUUUUCCUUGUUCUUUUCAAAGAAAGCAAGAUGGAUCAAUCAUAAUGCAAUUGUGAAAAGUCAUAUAGAGAACCCUUUUGUAUUCCAAAGAGUGAAUUUCAAAAGAUGGCAACAGAAGAUGUUGUGUUAUCUCACUACACUGAAUCUUGGACAGUGUUUGACUUUUGAAGGACCAGAGUCACCUGUAGAAGAUGAUAUUCCUGAUGAAAUAUUUAAAUCAUCAGAGAUAUGGACACAAAAAGAGUUUUUGUGCACAAACUAUAUUCUUAACACUUUGAACGAUUCUCUCUAUGAUGUUUAUCAUAUAUUCCAAACUUCAAAUCAGUUGUGGGAAUCAUUAAAGAAGAAAUACAAGUCUGAAGUUGCAAGCGUUAAGACGUUGACUGUGCAAAAGUUCUUAAACUUUAUGGUGAAACAAGUGGAAGAAAUUCUAAGUCAUUAUUCAUGAAAGAUAUGAGAUUGGCUGUUAUAGUUCUUGGAAUUAGAGUUAAACAAGAGUCAGAUGGUAUGAUAUUCACUUACUCAAUUUCAUUACGAGAAAGAAAAAGUUACAAUGGCAAGUCAAGACGUAUAAAACGUACUCAUGCAUGACAAUUGCUUUCUAAUGGGGUGAUAGCAUUGGAUUACAUUAGAUCAAAGGAAAAAUUAGUUGAUCCUUUGACUAAAGGUCUACCUAAAAAGCAAGUUGUAUUCAUUUCGAGGGGAAUGGGUCUCAAGCCAACACAAUGAGUCAUCACUUGAUGGAAACCUAACCUAGCAACAUUGGAGAUCCCAUGGCUAGGUUCAAUAGGCAAACUAGUUGAGGAACACUCAAGAAGUUUUAUACAUUUCUCAUUCCUAUGAAAUAAUAAUGUGUAUCCAUUGAUAAAUAAGAGUUGAAUAAUUUAUUUUUAAUAAUGCUAGUAUCUUUGGUAGAAGAGAGAUAUAGUGGACUAUCUUUAACUAAUAUUACCUAAUACUGUAGUCGGUAAGGUCAUUUUUUCUUGUAGUGUAAUAUAUCAAGCUGUUAUAGAAUAUAUAAAUGCGGACUCGAAAUAUAAAUGUCUGUCUAGUAUAUAUUCACCAACUCGGUCUAAAUAUCAUCUAAUUCUAGAACAACAAAAAAAAUUACUUAUUUAACUAGUUCGGGUAAUAUUUGAAUCCAUACGGGAAAUAUCCAAAUCCGAAUGGAUAUCUGAAGAUAACCAAACAUAAGUAUACUUAACCCUAUAUUUCUAGCUUACUUCUCUCAUUUUAUUCAAAAUAUUUAUAUUAAUGAUGCUUAUUUCUAAAAAUUAGAUAAUAUACAUAUAAUUAUGGACAAAAUUAUUUGCUACUCAAUUAAAAUAUAUAUCAAGCUCUUGUUUCUUGCAUUAAUAAAAUUUGCAUCUAAAAUUUCAAACCAACAACGAAAUUAGUGUCUUUUUAUUUUAAAAGUUUUAUCUCUAGACCUAUUAAUAGUUUAAAUUUUUAAAAAUUAGAAAAGAAGUUAAAAUAUUUUAUAUACAAAAAAACUUAAACAAUUUAUUUAUUUUUUCUUCAAAAUUUAAAUAUCCAAACCCGGCCCAAAAUUACCAAACCUGAACAUUAAAUACAUGAACCCGACUCGAAGUGUAGAAAUAUCCGAAUGGGCUUUAUGCUUUUAUACUAAAAUACCAGAUACGAACCCAAACGUGUAACCGAACGCCAACCCCUACGAUAUAUGAUCAUCAUUUGUAUCUUGCUUGAACAAUAUAAAAGUUAAACCAUUGAUCACAAAAUUUUCAAUGUGGGACUUUUACCAUUUUUAAUAUUGUAUAGUCAUUUUUAAAAAUUCGAAAUAUAACCUAUAAGAAAAAAUCUAAUUUUUUUAAUUUUGUGCUUAACGUGAUUGUUUAAUUUCUUUUAAUAGUAUAAAAUUAAACAGAAAAGAGAGGGGUUAGAAAAAUUGUUGUCAAAUAUGUAUUUUUCAUAAUAAUUAAUUAUCAUAUAUAUGUUAACCAUAUUAGGUUAUUAUGUAGAUUUUAUUUAAAGAAAGAAAAAAUAUUCUUUUGUACACUACUAAUUAAUUUGAUAGUUAUUUUAAUAAAAAUCAUAGUAUAUGUUUAUAUGGACCAACUUAUUUUUCUAACAAUUCUAAGAAUUAUUCUCGUGAUGACACGUGGCUACGAAAAUAUGUUGUAAUGCUCCAAGAUUAAUAUAUAGGGGAUUCCCUAGCAAUUUAAUUUUGGACUAACAAAAUUCUCUAUUGAUUCUCAAGCCACCACGUUAGCAAAAUUAACAUUUUACUUACGUGACAACUCAGCAUGAUACUUUUUUAAUUAAUACAAACUAAAGGUUAUAACUUUUUAAAUGAUUCUCUAUUAAUAUAUAGGGGGAUAAGUUAUCUUUUUUUUUUAGCAAAGUUUCCAAAAGUUAUGGUUGAAUCAGCCGUAGACUUAUAAGCCAUAACCCAAUUUUAGUGAAUACGAUAUUAAAGGUUUACUUCAGUUAUGUGGUAUUCAUUAAAUUUCAGUUUUUCUCCUUGUUUGCCGUUUUUACUUAUUCCUAUUUUAAGAAUUGAAAACACUCUAUAUACCUUAAUUUGACAAUGAGGUACAUAGAACAUUCAAUUAAUUAAAAAAAAAAUCAUAAACGAAGAGAAAAAAAGCAUGUAUAAAAGAGAAAAAGUAGUUUCCUUCUCUAUUAUUCUUAUGAUACCUUUGUUAAUUUUGACAGAAAAAAUAAAUGCUAAUGCUGCUAAGGAUUUCGAGCGCCGUUGUCGUGGAAUUCCACUCGAAAAUGCACCGCCGGAUAUGUGUCAUAAACCAAACCGUGAUGCUGAAUGUUUGCGUCUUUGCAAGGAGUCAGGCCCAAAAACUGGAUUUUACUUUGGUACGUGUGCUGUUAAGGACAAUAAACACUAUUGCCACUGCUACAAUAAUAUAUGCGGUCCACCACUACCACCAAUAAAAGGGCCACCACCUCGUGUGUAGAACGGAAAAUAAAUAAAUAAAUAAAUAUAUAUAUAUAUAUAUAUAUAUAUAUAUAUAUAUUUGUUUUUUUCCAAUAAUUUCUCUUUAAUACUUUUUUAAUAUGAAACUGUAAAAUAAAAUAAGAUUUUCUUAAAAACGAAAUAAUAACUAUAUAUUUAUAUUAUCUCCAUCUAUUUAUAGAUCGGUUGGAAAAUACAAUUUAUACUUUGUUGUAAAACUUUAUGUGUCCCUAUAGAUCAGCGAAAAAUAAUAUUCAUAGAAAUUUCACCUCUAUGUAUUUGCAACUAUACAGAAUCUACUCAAUUAAUUUAGAGUCUCGUAUUUUAUCUACCAUUGACAAGUUAUAGUAGGACCAUCUGAUUAACUACUUAAUGUGACAUAUUUAAUUAUUUACACUAAAUUUUAAUAAUCAAUAAAUAUAUUAAUAAUAAAUCAAUUUUAGUUAGAAAUUUGAAUUUUAUUUUUUGUUAUAACAAAAUCUGUUGAGAAAAAAUCUAACAAAAUCCUACCAAACGUUUUGUCAUUCUUUUUAAAAAUAGUGCAUUAUAAUUUCGUAAUUAGUAAUGUAAUCUUAUUAAAAUAAUGAUAAUUGAAAUUUAUCACACACAACAGAAAAUAAAAAUUCUAUGCUAUUUUAUGAAUUUUAGAAUUAAAGUCUAUAUUAUAUUAAAAUAGAUGUGCUUUAUAAAUUAAAUAUGAAACAAUAUACUAAAUUGGUAUUAACAGAUUUUUUUAAGAAAGAAAAAACAGUUUCAUUUAAAUAAAUUAUCAUUCAUCAUCAAAAUGGGUUAAAAUUCGUAAACUAUGUAAUAUUUUAUACAAAACUAAAAUUAUUGACAUUUGUUAAACUUUUAUAUCCAUGACUAUAUAUUAUCGUCUAAUUUGUUUGGAAACUCGCAACAAUAUAUUAUCUAUGCAUCAUUGAGGAAAUUUCAAUUCUACCACAAGUUUGAUACCACUUUUCAAAUUUACCAUUAAUUAAUGACUAUUUUCACAAAUACCUUACAUUUGUAAAAGGGGAAAUUUUACUUUUACACUUUGUUGGAUACCACUUUUCAACUUUACCAUAAGUCUAAGGACAUUUUCAGAAAUACCACUUUCAUUAGUGAGCAAAAGAUAAUAAUACCCUUACCUUAUCUUCUUCUCCACCAUCGGUUUCUCUCCCUCUUCCCGAGUCCCCGUCGUCUCUCUCUCACCGUCGAGUCACCGUCGUCUCUCUCUCCUUCUAGCGUCUCUCUCUCACCGUCUAGUUCCGGCGUGUCUCUCUCACCGUAGACUUCCGGCGACGAAAUCGAUUCAAAAUCUCCAAGAUGUCGACUCCUAUACGUGAUUCGCAACUUGUACCUAGGCCAUUGUCACAGUUGGAUUUGGAGAAAGUUCUUGCUACGUCGAAGAAGACGCAAGUUGCAGCAGGCGAGUAUUGUGGAUUGAGAUGGUCAAGGGAACCAGAUGAGGUGGAAGCAGCUACUUAGCUAGAUAGCAAUGAAUUGCACAUCUUUGAGAUUGCCUCUGAGGAUUUAUGAAGCUGGAACAGAACCAGUAGACAAUUCAAAAGUGAUUAUCCAAUCGGUGUCUUUGCAAUAAUGUGAAGUGUUUAUAAAAGAUUAUAAAUGUAGUUUAUAGGAGUUUAUUAAAUUAUAAAUUAGAGAUUUGUAGAGACUUAUAAAACGUUGUUUAUUCUUUGUUACAUCUUGUGGUUAAUACAGUGUUUGGAUUCCCUGAGGAAUACAAACAUUUCGUGAACCCAACACCUCCUGAUCUUGAUAACAUGGAUCUUGACGGUUCAACAAGGAUAUAAAAUGAAGAAAAGCUAAUGGGAACAAGGAUUUGUGAAUUUACAUUUUGCAACGUAUGAUAUAAGGCAAUAACACAUGAAAGAAGAUAAAAAUAAAGAGCAAAGGAGAGAUGAAAAGCAAAUAAGAGUUUAUAAAUCAUUUAUAAAAGUUUAUAAAACAAUUUGCAAAGUUUAUAAUCUUUUUAUAAAGGUUUAUAAAACAAUUAAUAAAGUCUAUAAACCAUUUAUAAUUGUUUAUAAAAAUGUUAUGAAAGUUUAUAAACAAUUUAUAAGGGAUAUGCAUACAAUUUAUAAGGUUUAUUGGUUUAUGAAUCACAUAGAAAGUCUAUGAAAUCAUUUAUAAGAGGCUAUAACAAUUUAUAAAGACUUGUAAAAUAAUAUUUAUAAGGAUAUAUAAAUAAUUAAUAAGAGUUUAUAAAUCAUUUAUAAAAUUUUAUUAAAAACAAUUUAUAAAUAUUAUAAACCUUUUAUAAAGGUUUACAAAUUAUUUGUAAGAGUCUAUAAACCAUCUAUAAAGGCUUAUAAAAAAUUUUAUAAAGUAUAUAAACAAUUUAUAAAUGUUUAUUAAAAAAUUAUAAAAGUUUAUAAAUCAUUUAUAAGGGGUAUGUAUAUAAUUUAUAAGGUUUAUAGAGGUAUAUACAGGUUUAGAAAUCAAUUGGAGAUCUUAAAUCAAUUAUAAGAGUCUAUAACCAUUUAGAAAAGCUUAUUAAACAAGUUAUAAGAGUUAAUAAAAUAAUUUUCUAGGGUUUAUAAAGGUAUGUAAAUAAUUUAUAAGAGUUUAUAAAAUAUUUAUAAAAACAAUUUAUAUGAAUAUGUUCUAAACAACCGACUUCGUCAACUCUUUAAUGUUGUUCAAUUCAGUCUUUGAAUGUGUGUGAGUUUCUCUCUACAACAUUAGUCAUGCAGUUAUUUACUAAAAGUUAAAUUUGUUCCAAUUUUUUAGACCUUUAUAAAAUAUAAAUCUGGAUUUCAGGAUAUUUUCAAAAGUACAACUCGACGAUUUAUAAGUCUUUAUAAAAAAGUUUUUAAAUAAGAGUUCAAGUAAUUUUAGGAUUUGCUUCCUUCUGUUAUCCAAAAAGCAAAUAAGGCUUAGUUGGACUUGUUAUUUGAAUAAUUCUGGUUAAGAUUAAGAUUUUCGGAUAGUGAACACUGCAUUAAUUAUAAUUCUUUAUAAAUCUGGAUUUCAGGAUAUUAUUAAAAGUACAACUUGACGAUUUAUAAGUCUCUUUUUUUUUUUUUUUUUGUGAAACUACGAUUUAUAAGUCUUUAUAAAGAAGUUUUUAAACAAGAGUUGAUCGGAUAUGUCUAUUAAAACAUAUAAAUGUGUGAACUUGAGAAGUCUUGUGAGGAAUGCUAGGCAGAAUAAGUAUAAGGAACUCGAAAAUGAUUUAUAAACGUUUAUAAACUGAUUUAUAAUGGGUUACAAGUUAAGUUUUCUAAAGUCCCUCAAAAAGACAAUUAACACAAAAAGACAUAUCUGGUGAAAGAGCCACGUCCUUCAGCAAGGGAUAUACUGUCUGAACCCUCUAUGUAGACUGUACAGAGACCAUGCUUGUGAUUAGAAUCAAACAAGCUCAUUUCAUGGUUUAGUUUUAUAAAUACUACUACUUACCUUAACUCCUGUGGAUGGAGAAGAGAAUGUGAGAAGCACCAAGAUCUUAAAUGAAGGAAGUGGAAUCAGCGGCUCGCCCUCCCUAAAAGCUCCAUCUACAAGUAUGGUUUGAGCCCUUGGAUGCGACAACAUCCUAAUUAAGAGAUGUCUGAAGAAGAUGAGAGAGAAGAAUGUAUUACCAAGCCAACUCUGCAACUUUUAUAAAGCGUUAUAAAUAUGUAAUUCUUUGAUCGCACAAACCACGUUCUAGUUCAGAGUCCCUCUUACUUCUUCAAACAGCUCACCAACCUGGUCGAUCUUCAAAAUCUGAACGCAAGCCAAUCACAUAUUAUUCCUACGCAUCAGCACUAGCUCACUUCCAAAAACAAGAUUCAAAAAUAAUAUGCUUUCGUAACUCAACAAACUCAUCUCCAUCUCCACUGCUUCUUUAGAUAUUAUACACAAAACAAGACAUAAAAAUGAAUCUCAUAAAGUACCAAACAUAACGUUACAUCAAAAUACCAACCUUCUACCUCAUAUAUUGCACAUACUAAACUUUGCUAGUCAAACUACAAAUAGUAGCAUUGUAUUACCUCAAGAAAGUGAGGUACUUGAUAUGCAUAUCACCACAUAUAUUCUCCACAGCAUCCUUUAAAUCUAAAAGCUCACAGCACACCUUUGUAAUUCCCUGCAACAUUACCAGAUCAACCAAAAGAAGAAGUAAUCAUGGAAUAAUAUUACUCUUACGUUAGUAAUUAAAUAUAUGUUAAGCUCUAUGUCUUUUGAUUGCUAACAAAUCAACAGUAAGAUUCGAAAGGACUCAAUUUAUAAGGUCUUAUAAAUUUGAGAUUUGAAAACUUCAUGAGAAAAAUUUCGUUUUCCUUUCGAGAAACAGAUCGAUUUUGAUAAACCAACCUACAAUUACAGAAAGAGACGAAAAUCACCAUCUAUUAUCCUCUUACCUUUGUUAGCGUUUCUUAGGUGUAGGGAAAGAGAUCGUCUCGUUCGUCUGAGCUUGUAGAGUCUGUCAGCUUCAUCGGAGAACUCGUCUUCGUUAGAUCUCGCCGGAAAACUCGUCGUCAGAUCUCGUCGGAAACUCUUCAGUGUUCGUAAAUCUCGCCGAGAACUCGUCUUGUUCGUUUGAGCUCAUCAGCAGCGUCGUCGGAUCUCGCCGUAUAACUAGUCAGAAAUUUUGCCGGAGAACUCCUCAGCGCCGGAGAACUCGUCAACAUCGUCUGAUUCGUCGGAUUUGAUUACAUGUAUCGUUCAUUUUGGAUCUGAGAUUUGAAGAAAUCUUUGGGGAAGAAGAGAAUAGUUUUAGGUUUAAUUAAUUAGGGGUAUAAUGGUAUUUUACCUAUUAAAAUUUUAAUGGUAAAAUUGGUUAGUGUAAAGUUGAAAAGUGGUAUUAGAAAAAUGGUAUUAGUGGCAAUUUAAAUUUUACUUUUACACUUUGUUGGAUACCACUUUUCAACUUUACCAUAAGUCUAAGGACAUUUUCAGAAAUACCACUUUCAUUAGUGAGCAAAAGAUAAUAAUACCCUUACCUUAUCUUCUUCUCCACCAUCGGUUUCUCUCCCUCUUCCCGAGUCCCCGUCGUCUCUCUCUCACCGUCGAGUCACCGUCGUCUCUCUCUCCUUCUAGCGUCUCUCUCUCACCGUCUAGUUCCGGCGUGUCUCUCUCACCGUAGACUUCCGGCGACGAAAUCGAUUCAAAAUCUCCAAGAUGUCGACUCCUAUACGUGAUUCACAACUUGUACCUAGGCCAUUGUCACAGUUGGAUUUGGAGAAAGUUCUUGCUACGUCGAAGAAGACGCAAGUUGCAGCAGGCGAGUAUUGUGGAUUGAGAUGGUCAAGGGAACCAGAUGAGGUGGAAGCAGCUACUUAGGUAUUUUUUUUUGUUCGAAGAAAGUCAACGAAGCUAGAUAGCAAUGAAUUGCACAUCUUUGAGAUUGCCUCUGAGGAUUUAUGAAGCUGGAACAGAACCAGUAGACAAUUCAAAAGUGAUUAUCCAAUCGGUGUCUUUGCAAUAAUGUGAAGUGUUUAUAAAAGAUUAUAAAUGUAGUUUAUAGGAGUUUAUUAAAUUAUAAAUUAGAGAUUUGUAGAGACUUAUAAAACGUUGUUUAUUCUUUGUUACAUCUUGUGGUUAAUACAGUGUUUGGAUUCCCUGAGGAAUACAAACAUUUCGUGAACCCAACACCUCCUGAUCUUGAUAACAUGGAUCUUGACGGUUCAACAAGGAUAUAAAAUGAAGAAAAGCUAAUGGGAACAAGGAUUUGUGAAUUUACAUUUUGCAACGUAUGAUAUAAGGCAAUAACACAUGAAAGAAGAUAAAAAUAAAGAGCAAAGGAGAGAUGAAAAGCAAAUAAGAGUUUAUAAAUCAUUUAUAAAAGUUUAUAAAACAAUUUGCAAAGUUUAUAAUCUUUUUAUAAAGGUUUAUAAAACAAUUAAUAAAGUCUAUAAACCAUUUAUAAUUGUUUAUAAAAAUGUUAUGAAAGUUUAUAAACAAUUUAUAAGGGAUAUGCAUACAAUUUAUAAGGUUUAUUGGUUUAUGAAUCACAUAGAAAGUCUAUGAAAUCAUUUAUAAGAGGCUAUAACAAUUUAUAAAGACUUGUAAAAUAAUAUUUAUAAGGAUAUAUAAAUAAUUAAUAAGAGUUUAUAAAUCAUUUAUAAAAUUUUAUUAAAAACAAUUUAUAAAUAUUAUAAACCUUUUAUAAAGGUUUACAAAUUAUUUGUAAGAGUCUAUAAACCAUCUAUAAAGGCUUAUAAAAAAUUUUAUAAAGUAUAUAAACAAUUUAUAAAUGUUUAUUAAAAAAAUUAUAAAAGUUUAUAAAUCAUUUAUAAGGGGUAUGUAUAUAAUUUAUAAGGUUUAUAGAGGUAUAUACAGGUUUAGAAAUCAAUUGGAGAUCUUAAAUCAAUUAUAAGAGUCUAUAACCAUUUAGAAAAGCUUAUUAAACAAGUUAUAAGAGUUAAUAAAAUAAUUUUCUAGGGUUUAUAAAGGUAUGUAAAUAAUUUAUAAGAGUUUAUAAAAUAUUUAUAAAAACAAUUUAUAUGAAUAUGUUCUAAACAACCGACUUCGUCAACUCUUUAAUGUUGUUCAAUUCAGUCUUUGAAUGUGUGUGAGUUUCUCUCUACAACAUUAGUCAUGCAGUUAUUUACUAAAAGUUAAAUUUGUUCCAAUUUUUUAGACCUUUAUAAAAUAUAAAUCUGGAUUUCAGGAUAUUUUCAAAAGUACAACUCGACGAUUUAUAAGUCUUUAUAAAAAAGUUUUUAAAUAAGAGUUCAAGUAAUUUUAGGAUUUGCUUCCUUCUGUUAUCCAAAAAGCAAAUAAGGCUUAGUUGGACUUGUUAUUUGAAUAAUUCUGGUUAAGAUUAAGAUUUUCGGAUAGUGAACACUGCAUUAAUUAUAAUUCUUUAUAAAUCUGGAUUUCAGGAUAUUAUUAAAAGUACAACUUGACGAUUUAUAAGUCUCUUUUUUUUUUUUUUUUUGUGAAACUACGAUUUAUAAGUCUUUAUAAAGAAGUUUUUAAACAAGAGUUGAUCGGAUAUGUCUAUUAAAACAUAUAAAUGUGUGAACUUGAGAAGUCUUGUGAGGAAUGCUAGGCAGAAUAAGUAUAAGGAACUCAAAAAUGAUUUAUAAACGUUUAUAAACUGAUUUAUAAUGGGUUACAAGUUAAGUUUUCUAAAGUCCCUCAAAAAGACAAUUAACACAAAAAGACAUAUCUGGUGAAAGAGCCACGUCCUUCAGCAAGGGAUAUACUGUCUCAACCCUCUAUGUAGACUGUACAGAGACCAUGCUUGUGAU